AGCGAACGCUGGCGGCAGGCCUAACACAUGCAAGUCGAACGAACUCUUCUGAUUUAGUGGCGGACGGGUGAGUAACACGUGGGAACGUUCCUUUUGGUUCGGAAUAACUCAGGGAAACUUGUGCUAAUACCGAAUGUGCCCUUCUGGGGAAAGAUUUAUCUCCAUUCGAGCGUCCCGCGUCUGAUUAGCUAGUUGGUGAGGUAACGGCUCACCCAGGCUGAGAUCAGUAGCUGGUCUGAGAGGAUGACCAGCCACACUGGGACAGAGACACGGCCCAGACUCCUACGAGAGGCAGAAGUGGGGAAUCUGGAGCAAUGGGCGAAAGACUGACGCAGCCGGGCCGCGUGAAUGAUGAAGGUCUUAGGAUUGUAAAAUUCUUUGACAGGGGACGAUAAUGACGGUACCCGGAGAAGAAGCCCCGGCUAACUUCGUG
This 433-nucleotide ribosomal RNA is filed under the name uncultured bacterium. RNAcentral's name for it is "partial 16S ribosomal RNA". It matches the Rfam family "Bacterial small subunit ribosomal RNA", at positions 29 to 507 of the family's 1533-position model. The record is from RNAcentral.